Long non-coding RNA from Haplochromis burtoni (Burton's mouthbrooder), 156 nucleotides. RefSeq lists it as uncharacterized. The transcript has 3 exons. The record is from RefSeq and is a predicted model, not a curated record. Lineage: Eukaryota; Metazoa; Chordata; Actinopteri; Cichliformes; Cichlidae.
AAACAGGGCAGAUAAAGACAUGGACCCCGUGACAGCUGUGUGCAGUGCUGCAGGAGCAGUAGGUGCCGUAGUCGCUGCUCCUGCUCUUCUGGGAGCUGCUGGUUUCACCUCAGCAGGAAUAGCUGCAGGCUCCUACGCUGCAAGCAUGAUGUCUGC